Molecule: unclassified non-coding RNA, 80 nt
Filed under: Bradyrhizobium sp. Ghvi
Lineage: Bacteria; Pseudomonadati; Pseudomonadota; Alphaproteobacteria; Hyphomicrobiales; Nitrobacteraceae
Description: suhB
Source: RNAcentral
UGACCAACCUGAAGUAAGUUUUGUCCCGAGAGUACUUACGAGGGCGGCAGAGCAAUCUGCCGCCCUUUUGUUUUGAGGCA